GUUCUUGCUUUGGCAGGACAUGUUUUGAAAUCGGAAUGAUACAGAGAAGAUUAGGUUAGCCUCUGUGUCAAAAUGGCAUGCAAAUUUGUGAAGUGUUCCAUAUCUUU
Molecule: small nuclear RNA, 107 nt
Organism: Echinops telfairi (small Madagascar hedgehog)
Lineage: Eukaryota; Metazoa; Chordata; Mammalia; Afrosoricida; Tenrecidae
Source: Ensembl